AGACGUCUACAUUAGAUACCCCCGUAGUCCCAGCCGUAAACUAUGCGCGUUAGGUGUAUCGGUGACCACGAGUCACCGAGGUGCCGAAGGGAAACCGUGAAACGUGCCGCCUGGGAAGUACGGUCGCAAGGCUGAAACUUAAAGGAAUUGGCGGGGAGCACAACAACGGGUGGAGCCUGCGGUUUAAUUGGACUCAACGCCGGGAAGCUCACCGGAUAGGACAGCAGAAUGAUUGCCGGGCUGAAGACCCUGCAUGACUAGCUG
Molecule: ribosomal RNA, 264 nt
Filed under: uncultured archaeon
Lineage: Archaea
Description: partial 16S ribosomal RNA
Rfam family: Archaeal small subunit ribosomal RNA
Source: RNAcentral